UACGAACUGUGCGAACGUUAUUCGGAAUCACUGGGCUUACAGGGUGCGUAGGCGGUUCGCUAAGUCAGAUGUGAAAUCCCCCGGCUCAACCGGGGAACUGCGUUUGAGACUGGCGGGCUGGAGUGAGGUAGGGGCGCGUGGAACUUCUAGUGGAGCGGUGAAAUGUGUAGAGAUUAGAGGGAACGCCGGCAGCGAAAGCGGCGCGCUGGGCCUUAACUGACGCUGAGGCACGAAAGCCAGGGGAGCGAACGGG
This 253-nucleotide ribosomal RNA is filed under the name uncultured bacterium. Its description in RNAcentral is "partial 16S ribosomal RNA". It matches the Rfam family "Bacterial small subunit ribosomal RNA", at positions 524 to 776 of the family's 1533-position model. The record is from RNAcentral.